This 315-nucleotide ribosomal RNA is filed under the name Triticum aestivum (bread wheat). Its description in RNAcentral is "partial small subunit ribosomal RNA". Lineage: Eukaryota; Viridiplantae; Streptophyta; Magnoliopsida; Poales; Poaceae. The record is from RNAcentral.
AUGGACCAAUCCAUCCCUUUUUCCCGUGCAUAUGCAUCGGACUCGGAUGACGAUGGUCCCGAUGAAGAAGUUGAUGAGGAGGGGUUCACGCCGAAGGAGGCCCAAGCAUUCAAGAAGGUAUUCGGGCGGGAUCACAAGACACCAUUGUUCAAGGAUCUUAGUCUCGCGGAUGAAGCCAUUGUGGAUGGUGGCAAAUGCAUAUCUCUUGGAGCUAGGCCAAGCUCUCAUCGUGAUUUGGAAGACGGCAAGAACGGGAUAUAUCCCGGUUGUGAGUUUCAAUCCUUCUUGGAAUUGAAGAUGUGGCUCGACAACUAG